RNAcentral lists this ribosomal RNA (481 nucleotides) under uncultured bacterium. Its description in RNAcentral is "partial 16S ribosomal RNA". It matches the Rfam family "Bacterial small subunit ribosomal RNA", at positions 28 to 507 of the family's 1533-position model. The record is from RNAcentral.
GAUGAACGCUGGCGGCGUGCUUAACACAUGCAAGUCGAACGAAGCAUUUAAGACAGAUUACUUCGGUUUGAAGUCUUUUAUGACUGAGUGGCGGACGGGUGAGUAACGCGUGGGUAACCUGCCUCAUACAGGGGGAUAGCAGCUGGAAACGGCUGGUAAUACCGCAUAAGCGCACAGUACCACAUGGUACAGUGUGAAAAACUCCGGUGGUAUGAGAUGGACCCGCGUCUGAUUAGCUAGUUGGCGGGGUAACGGCCCACCAAGGCGACGAUCAGUAGCCGACCUGAGAGGGUGACCGGCCACAUUGGGACUGAGACACGGCCCAGACUCCUACGGGAGGCAGCAGUGGGGAAUAUUGCACAAUGGAGGAAACUCUGAUGCAGCGACGCUGCGUGAGUGAAGAAGUAGUUCGCUAUGUAAAGCUCUAUCAGCAGGGAAGAUAGUGACGGUACCUGACUAAGAAGCUCCGGCUAAAUACGUG